CCUUUCACACUUUUUCUUACAUCUUGCACACUCUUGCCUCUACCUCCACCAUAUGUCUCUCUCCUAUUGGUUGGUCAACAUCUAACUCAUGGCCCUAAAAUCCUAUUUACCAUGAAUUGCGUAUUAUACCCUCAAUUUAUUCAUCAGAAAUGACCUAAGCUCCCUCAAACCCUAUAUCAGACUAAGACUUUGCCUUUCACUGACUAAAGUAUCGCUUCUUCUCCUCUUUUCUCUGUCCCUCAAUGUCUUUUCACUCUUUUCAAGUAAAUUUUUAGUGGUCUUUCACCAUGACCAGAGAUUAGGUACCCUAUUUUCAUGUUAUGGUCCUUUCAAUCACGUGAAUCCCUCAAGCUCUAUCCCAAAUGUUCAAAUUUGAAUGAGUUUUUGAGCAUGAAUUCAAAAAUAAAAGGUGAAAUCUCACACAAAAUAAGAGUUUUUGAAUCCCUAGUUGUUUUUCUAUAAAUACUAACAUUUAAACUCAUUUUGGGGGAGGUUUUUCAGCCGCUCCUCCCUCAAACUUUCUGAAAUAUACCUUGUUUCUUACUUGGCUAUUAAAAUACAAGUUUUUGUUUUUCGCCACUCUUGUACUCUGACCAUGUUUUCUACUCGCUAAGGAAUUCAUCCAAAAGCUACUGCUUAUUUACUCUUAUUUCUCCUUGUCUUUGAGAAAAAAAAGAAAAUUUCUUCUUGUUUGCUCCUGGUACCAGCCAAGUUUUAGAAUCUUAGCAUAUUCAAGCUUGGGUGCGUUGAAGUUGGGUGUAGAUCCUUGAUCGACGACUCAGCUUCACUGCUCCAUAAAAGCCUUUAUAAAAGACUCUCACCGCGCAAGUAGGUUCAUUUCGGGACUUAUUGCUGGAAUCUUGAAGUUUUGAUGAAUGACAAUAUGAAUGAAAUAAGUUGAUAUGAUUUAAUUCAAUGCAACUGGAAACUUCAACUUACUGAUCACAUGGGGAAUAGAACAAGUUGAAUUUAAUUCAAACACUUGAUGAUAAGGGAAAGUAAGUUGAGUUGAAAAAAGAUUCCUACAUAAAAAAAGAGUUUCACUUCUGAGUAUAUCUUGAAGAGUCUUAUGUGUGGGAGGAGAAAGAUUUUGAUAAAUUAAUAUAUGCUGAUUUAAAGAAUUGGAAUUUGACUACAACACCAAGGAGACAAGAGUUAGAAUUGAAGAAGGAGUCCCACUUGAAAUAAAACUCUAUGCAAUGAGAGUUUUGAUUAGAGGAGGAGUUUGAAAUAAAGAAAGACUCUUUGGAGAGUUGUGCUUAAAUAGAAGAUGCAGCAGUCAGAAUAAUUUACGCACUUAAAAAGAAGAAAAGCAUAAUCGACAGAUUGACUUUACGAAGUGCUACUCAAUCACUGAAGAAACACGUUGACGAACCUGAUCCUCAGUACAGAAUCCAGCUAUGAGUUUUAGCGUUGAUUUUUAGAGUUGUUCAUUGUGUUUGAACUAUUGAUAAAAUAUUAGUUUUAGUGUAUUAUAAACUGAACUAGGAGCUAGUCUUCGAGUUGGGGAAACUCAGAGACUUUGGAAACGCAUACCUUGGGAGGUGUGUGUGUGGUUAGGAAUUAGAUUUUAUAAUUUCUAGUUGUUGAGUUAUAGGGAUUAGAGUUUAUAACUCCUAUUUGUUGGUUACAAGAGUUUUGUAAUCAAUCAUUGUUGAGGCUCAGAGUUAUUUACUGAAUUUGGGGUUAAAUCCA
This is a long non-coding RNA of Capsicum annuum, 1695 nucleotides long. RefSeq lists it as uncharacterized. Lineage: Eukaryota; Viridiplantae; Streptophyta; Magnoliopsida; Solanales; Solanaceae. The record is from RefSeq and is a predicted model, not a curated record. The transcript is spliced from 2 exons.